RNAcentral lists this ribosomal RNA (429 nucleotides) under Chloroflexota bacterium. RNAcentral's name for it is "Chloroflexi bacterium partial 16S ribosomal RNA". It matches the Rfam family "Bacterial small subunit ribosomal RNA", at positions 355 to 776 of the family's 1533-position model. The record is from RNAcentral. Lineage: Bacteria; Bacillati; Chloroflexota.
UGGGGAAUAUUGCACAAUGGGCGCAAGCCUGAUGCAGCCAUGCCGCGUGUAUGAAGAAGGCCUUCGGGUUGUAAAGUACUUUCAGCGGGGAGGAAGGGAGUAAAGUUAAUACCUUUGCUCAUUGACGUUACCCGCAGAAGAAGCACCGGCUAACUCCGUGCCAGCAGCCGCGGUAAUACGGAGGGUGCAAGCGUUAAUCGGAAUUACUGGGCGUAAAGCGCACGCAGGCGGUUUGUUAAGUCAGAUGUGAAAUCCCCGGGCUCAACCUGGGAACUGCAUCUGAUACUGGCAAGCUUGAGUCUCGUAGAGGGAGGUAGAGUUCCAGGUGUAGCGGUGAACUGCGUAGAGAUCUGGAGGAAUACCGGUGGCGAAGGCGGCCCCCUGGACGAAGACUGACGCUCAGGUGCGAAAGCGUGGGGAGCAAACAGG